Molecule: ribosomal RNA, 301 nt
Filed under: uncultured bacterium
Lineage: Bacteria
Description: partial 16S ribosomal RNA
Rfam family: Bacterial small subunit ribosomal RNA
Source: RNAcentral
CAGUCGCCGCGGGAAUACGUAGGGUGCGAGCGUUAAUCGGAAUUACUGGGCGUAAAGCGUGCGCAGGCGGUUGUGUAAGACAGGUGUGAAAUCCCCGGGCUUAACCUGGGAACUGCGCUUGUGACUUCACAGCUAGAGUAUGGCAGAGGGGGGUGGAAUUCCACGUGUAGCAAUGAAAUGCGUAGAGAUGUGGAGGAACACCGAUGGCGUAGGCAGCCCCCUGGGCCAAUACUGACGCUCAUGCACGAAAGCGUGGGGAGCAAAUGGGAUUAGAUACCCCCGUAGUCCCUGUCUCUUAUAC